AAGUCGUAACAAGGUUUCCGUAGGUGAACCUGCGGAAGGAUCAUUACUAAAUCCAAAGUUUGGGGUGCCGGCUGAGCGAUCGGUCUCUCGAGGCCUUUCUGCUCGCUGCCCUCAAAUCUUUUACCUACCCCAAAACCACUGUGCACUGUGAUCAAAGCUCACCGGAAGUCUUAGCUUCUGGUGGCUUUAACCCAUUUUACACGCUUAUGUUUUUUUUAAAACUGUAUUUCAUUUUUCUAUGGUCAGCUUUCGGGCGAUCAUGUAAAAUAAACACAAAUGUUAAUACAACUUUUAGCAACGGAUCUCUUGGCUCUC
This 315-nucleotide unclassified non-coding RNA is filed under the name fungal sp. Its description in RNAcentral is "partial internal transcribed spacer region". The stretch from base 1 to 46 matches the Rfam family "Eukaryotic small subunit ribosomal RNA", at positions 1786 to 1831 of the family's 1831-position model. RNAcentral also lists the same sequence under 1 other name. Lineage: Eukaryota; Fungi. The record is from RNAcentral.